Molecule: ribosomal RNA, 249 nt
Filed under: Fusarium sp. KC-2010ba
Lineage: Eukaryota; Fungi; Ascomycota; Sordariomycetes; Hypocreales; Nectriaceae
Description: partial 18S ribosomal RNA
Source: RNAcentral
UCACAUUACUAAUCGCAUUGCGGUGCUUUUUUUAUCGGAGCAGACCCAAAAGCUCCCGUUGGUUGAAAAGUUUUGAUUUAAUUGGCUGGUUACUUCCGGAAAAACCUUAAAAGAAAAAAGAGUUGGGUCCUUGGGGGGGCCCUGUUAAGGGCGUCUGUUCCCGCCGAGGCAACGUUAGGUAUGUUCACAGGGUUGUGAGUUGUAUAACUCGGUAAUUUUCCGUUGGGUGAACCAGCGGAGGGAUCAUUA